Acanthochromis polyacanthus (spiny chromis) is the source of this 660-nucleotide long non-coding RNA. RefSeq lists it as uncharacterized. The record is from RefSeq and is a predicted model, not a curated record. NCBI's taxonomy places the organism in Eukaryota, Metazoa, Chordata, Actinopteri, Pomacentridae. The transcript has 4 exons.
AGAGUUACAGGUCAAGCGGCACACUCAAAAUCCACACUGAGGAACGCCUGGGCUUCGGAGUGAUGCAGGACAACCGCACACAGCCAACUGAUAUUCAAAUUCACUCAAACAGGCGAGGAGAAGCAUCAGCAAAUGGACUAGGAGCAUCUGAAUUUGGAUCAGCCUUCCGUCCGUUGUCACGAGCAGCCCGAGAGAUCAUGGAGAUUUGUGGUGUGGACCAGAGAGGCUGUGAAGACCCUGACUUGGACACAGACACGACUGAACACACAGUCCACCAUCUGGCACAGGAAUUAAGACUCAUUGCCAAGGAAACAGACACUCAGGCUCUGGUAAUUAAUACAAGAAACAGUGCAAGUCAAGAUCAGCAUGGAAAUCUGGGUUUCAAACGGGGUGGGGUCAGUGAGGAACAAAAGGAAGAAGAGGAGGCUGCGAAGAGAGACCAACAGAGCGUUCUCUUACUACCUUGAGACACACACUUAUAUGAGUCUUGUAAUAGACUACAAAACAGAAAAUCACACAAUGGAUAUAAUUUACAUGAUGUCCAUGUGGGGAAGAGGCUGGUGCAGAUGCUCUUUUACUUUAAGACUAAAUAGCUGUGUGCAAACAGAUGGAAAUAUAAAUGUAAUGCUUUGAAAUGGAAUAAAUGCUGUUUUGAUCUGA